Molecule: ribosomal RNA, 198 nt
Filed under: Triticum aestivum (bread wheat)
Lineage: Eukaryota; Viridiplantae; Streptophyta; Magnoliopsida; Poales; Poaceae
Description: partial small subunit ribosomal RNA
Source: RNAcentral
AUGCUGAUCGACACCGUCUACUUCAGUGGCGUGUGCGAGAACAAGAAGAACUUUUACGAGGUGUGCACCUACCAUGCCAACUGCCUCAUCGGUCUGCAGAAAGAGAUCGACACACUCGCCGGCGUGCUCGACGAGUGGAAGCAGUUCAGGGCGCAGCAGGAGCUGCUUGGCAACAGCACCACCACGCUCAUCUACUGA